Molecule: unclassified non-coding RNA, 1758 nt
Filed under: Yarrowia lipolytica
Lineage: Eukaryota; Fungi; Ascomycota; Dipodascomycetes; Dipodascales
Source: RNAcentral
UGUCCAGGAUGCGGCGGUCCCUGUCAUCACGUGACCCGCGAUAUUAUGCCACGGUGCUGUCAGCUGGCCGAACGGAAGAGUGGACACAGAGAGACGAGGGAGGUCUGAGAGGAAAUCAAAGCGCAGCAAUGGAAUCAGUCGAUUGAGAAGAAUCGAACGAUGUUAUUAUUUAUUGCGUCUGGGUGGUCUUUUCGUCGUUUGUGCCGUUCUCUUUCCUUUCCGUCUUGUGUGCUGUUUGUGUCACUAUCCAGGUGGCAUAAUAUCGGGGUGCGCGGGUGGUGUCAAUGCGUAUCAAUUGGGCAGCGAUCGCGAAGCAUCUGUCUACAGCGUAUCGGAUAACCUCCGCGGCAGUCGAUGCGGUUCAGUGACUAGGGAGAGUGACACUAGUUGGGUGUGGUGACACUAUGGGGCUGCGUUGAGUGACAGAGGGCUUGUUCUCAAGGAGUGGAACGAAUGCGUCGGUGAGUAUACUGGGCUAUUUGGGAGUCUGGAGGAGCGAGUAUGAUUCAGAAUUGCAGUUGAGGCGGUAUCGCCAUUCUGCGUAGUUGUGGUGAUGUGCCAGACGUUGUACAAGUACAAGUACAAGUACAAGUACAAGUACAAUCUACUCGUACAAGUACUUGUACUCCAUUUGCAUUAUUGAAGUGACUAAAUUGACUCUGGAUACCACCGCAUUAUUAAUACCCGUCGCCAUUGUCAUAUUAUGAGUGUCGGAAGUCCGCUGUGCGUGGAGGGUAACCAAGUACAAGUGCUGUACCGGGAUAGGUCAGAUGGUGGUCAAUGGUCAAUAACGAUGAACCAGGUGUUACGACUUUCAAGUACACUCAAUGUCUCUCACACUGGUUGUCUUUGUGCCGAUCUGACCUUGGAGGUGCAGUGCAUACUACAGGCCAUACAGUGUCUUCCGCGAUAAAGCCGUGAUACUGCACAGUUCGUGGGGGCCAUGUGCAGUAAGUCCGCCAUCCGACUUCAAGCAUCGGCCUAGACCUUUGCGGUAUUUUCCCCUACACCGUAGUUGUGGUGCUGACUACAUGGGCGCGGUGGUGCCCAUCACAUGGCUCAUGUGCCCACUACAUGGGAGCAGUGGUUCCCAUCACAUAGUCCAUGUGUCCCCUACACGAUCCAUGUGGUGACGACGCGAUCCAUGUGGUGACGACGCGAGGCCAAUGUCAUAGACAGCAAUGUGUCCCCAUGUGCCCCCAUUUGCCGCCAUGCUGAUAACGACAGCCUCUACGAUUGGCCAUGAGCUGUGGAGCAGCUAGUAUCAUAAAAUAUCUGGUCGAGCCCCGGGCCGUGGCCAGACUUGCCAUUCACAUGGGUUUCAGCUUUGUCUGCUCGGUUGUUGAUAAUCUGGAAAUUACAUCGUCAUGUUGGAACCAGUAUGGGCUGAUUCGUGAUGCAUCUAACCUGUAAACGCAAAGCCAGCACGGGUUGUGGUAAUAUGGGGAGGAGCAGGAGCAGGAGCAGGAACUGGGAGCAAGAAGCAUGGAGCAAGGUGCAAGUGAGCACAUUACUGGCUACCGCGGGGGGGAGGGGUGGGGGAAUGUGUCAGCCGCGCCCCUGAGUCUUAGUCAUCAUCAUAAAGGGGGCGUCAGUAUUAGCGAUCGUGGGGGCAAGUACUAACGCUCCGACUAUAUUCGCACUGUUCCAUUGGUCUGCUUACCAAGCACCAACUGCGACUUUCCCACGUGCCGCCGAAACGCCGGGGUCGUCGAUUUGUGUCUCAAAAAAUUAUCCAUUUUAUCCGAAUAUCCGGGU